This 484-nucleotide ribosomal RNA is filed under the name uncultured bacterium. Its description in RNAcentral is "partial 16S ribosomal RNA". It matches the Rfam family "Bacterial small subunit ribosomal RNA", at positions 30 to 507 of the family's 1533-position model. The record is from RNAcentral.
AUUGAACGCUGGCGGCAGGCCUAACACAUGCAAGUCGAGCGGUUGAAGGGAGCUUGCUCCUGGAUUCAGCGGCGGACGGGUGAGGAAUGCCUAGGAAUCUGCCUGUGAGUGGGGGAUAACGUCCGGGAACGGGCGCUAAUACCGCAUACGUCCUUAGGGAGAAAGUGGUUGUUCUUCGUACCUCACGCUAUCAGAUCAGCCUAGGUCGGAUUAGCUAGUUGGUGGGGUAAAGGCCUACCAAGGCGACGAUCCGUAACUGGUCUGAGAGGAUGAUCAGUCACACUGGAACUGAGACACGGUCCAGACUCCUACGGGAGGCAGCAGUGGGGAAUAUUGGACAAUGGGCGAAAGCCUGAUCCAGCCAUGCCGCGUGGGUGAAGAAGGUCUUCGGAUUGUAAAGCACUUUAAGUUGGGAGGAAGGGCAGUAAGUGAAUACCUUGCUGUUUUGACGUUACCAACAGAAUAAGCAACGGCUAACUUCGUG